GGAGAGGUGCAAGAGUGGUUGAAUUGGCCACCCUGGAAAGGUGGUAUACCGGUAACGGUAUCGUGGGUUCGAAUCCCACCUUCUCCG
RNAcentral lists this transfer RNA (87 nucleotides) under Ignavibacteria bacterium. RNAcentral's name for it is "tRNA-Ser". It matches the Rfam family "tRNA". Rfam says of the family: Transfer RNA (tRNA) molecules are approximately 80 nucleotides in length. Their secondary structure includes four short double-helical elements and three loops (D, anti-codon, and T loops). Further hydrogen bonds mediate the characteristic L-shaped molecular structure. tRNAs have two regions of fundamental functional importance: the anti-codon, which is responsible for specific mRNA codon recognition, and the 3' end, to which the tRNAs corresponding amino acid is attached (by aminoacyl-tRNA synthetases). tRNAs cope with the degeneracy of the genetic code in two manners: having more than one tRNA (with a specific anti-codon) for a particular amino acid; and 'wobble' base-pairing, i.e. permitting non-standard base-pairing at the 3rd anti-codon position. The record is from RNAcentral. Lineage: Bacteria; Pseudomonadati; Ignavibacteriota; Ignavibacteria.